GAUGAACGCUAGCUACAGGCUUAACACAUGCAAGUCGAGGGGUAACGAGAGGAAAGCUUGCUUUCCUUGUCGACGACCGGCGCACGGGUGAGUAACGCGUAUCCAACCUGCCCCCAACUAGGGAAUAACCUUGCGAAAGUAAGACUAAUACCCUAUAAUUUCCUCAGAUGACAUCUGACGAGGAAUAAAGAUUUAUCGGUUGUGGAUGGGGAUGCGUCUGAUUAGCUUGUUGGCGGGGUAACGGCCCACCAAGGCAACGAUCAGUAGGGGUUCUGAGAGGAAGGUCCCGCACAUUGGAACUGAGACACGGUCCAAACUCCUACGGGAGGCAGCAGUGAGGAAUAUUGGUCAAUGGGCGGAAGCCUGAACCAGCCAAGUAGCGUUCAGGAUGACAGCCCUAUGGGUUGUAAACUGCUUUUAUACAGGAAUAAAGUUAGCCACGUGUGGUUAUUUGUAGGUACUGUAUGAAUAAGGACCGGCUAAUUCCGUGCCAGCAGCCGCGGUAA
Molecule: ribosomal RNA, 506 nt
Filed under: uncultured bacterium
Lineage: Bacteria
Description: partial 16S ribosomal RNA
Rfam family: Bacterial small subunit ribosomal RNA
Source: RNAcentral